CCCUUAGAUGUUCUGGGCAGCACGCGCGCUACAAUGGUCUUCGCAAACGGAUGCAUUCUCGAAGGAGAAUGCCAAUCUUGGAAUCUAUGCCUUGGUCGGGAUAGUUGCUUGCAAUUUUUCGACUCGAACCAGGAAUUCCUUGUAAUCGUGAUUCAUCACAUCACGAUGAAUACGUCCCUGCCCUUUGUACACACCGCCCGUCGCUCCUACCGAUCGAAGAGUUAGGUGAAUUGUUUUGAUCGAUAAGAUUUGACUAUGGUCAACUCUCGUUGUGAAAUUCUGUGAAUCUGACUGUUUAGAGGAAGGAAAAGUCGUAACA
RNAcentral lists this ribosomal RNA (319 nucleotides) under uncultured eukaryote. Its description in RNAcentral is "partial 18S ribosomal RNA". It matches the Rfam family "Eukaryotic small subunit ribosomal RNA", at positions 1470 to 1796 of the family's 1831-position model. The record is from RNAcentral.